GUCUAUGGCCAUGCCACCCUGAACAAGCCCGAUCCCAUCUGAUCUCGGAAGCUAAGCAGGUUCGGGCCUGGUUAGUACUUGAAUGGGAGACCACCGAGGACGACCAGGUGCUGAAGGCA
RNAcentral lists this ribosomal RNA (119 nucleotides) under Pteropus alecto (black flying fox). Lineage: Eukaryota; Metazoa; Chordata; Mammalia; Chiroptera; Pteropodidae. The record is from RNAcentral.